UUGCUUUGGCAGCACAUGUACUGAAAUUGCAAUGAUACAGAAAAGAUUAGUAUGGCCCCUGUGCAAGGAUGACAUGCAGAUUUGUGAAGCAUUCUAUGUAUAU
Molecule: small nuclear RNA, 103 nt
Organism: Gracilinanus agilis (Agile Gracile Mouse Opossum)
Lineage: Eukaryota; Metazoa; Chordata; Mammalia; Didelphimorphia; Didelphidae
Source: RefSeq, a predicted model, not a curated record